This 30-nucleotide non-coding RNA is filed under the name Mus musculus (house mouse). The record is from RNAcentral. Lineage: Eukaryota; Metazoa; Chordata; Mammalia; Rodentia; Muridae.
UUUGUGAGAAAGACGUUGCCUUUGCAGUAC